Molecule: long non-coding RNA, 268 nt
Organism: Protobothrops mucrosquamatus (brown spotted pit viper)
Lineage: Eukaryota; Metazoa; Chordata; Lepidosauria; Squamata; Viperidae
Exons: 3
Source: RefSeq, a predicted model, not a curated record
GACUACCGCGCGGGCAAUUUCGAGCCCGGCGGGGCGGGAGAAAUAAAGUUUGGGCAGUUUUAGCUGAACGUUAUGACUUUCCCGGUGGCUGAAUUGCGGUGGCCCAAGCACCUUCUCCCGCUGGAAGAAGUUGAUAACUUGUUGCGUUGUGGAAUAUGCUUUGAUUACUUCAACACUGCGAUGAUAAUUCCACAGUGUUCACAUAAUUAUUGUUCUCUCUGUAUUCGCAAGUCGCUGUCCUACAAACCUCAGUGUCCUAUAUGCUGUA